RNAcentral lists this ribosomal RNA (36 nucleotides) under Tiquilia atacamensis. RNAcentral's name for it is "partial 26S ribosomal RNA". RNAcentral also lists the same sequence under 14 other names. The record is from RNAcentral. Lineage: Eukaryota; Viridiplantae; Streptophyta; Magnoliopsida; Boraginales; Ehretiaceae.
CCGCGACCCCAGGUCAGGCGGGACCACCCGCUGAGU